This 310-nucleotide long non-coding RNA is filed under the name Manihot esculenta (cassava). Its description in RNAcentral is "long non-coding RNA (MESC_LNC010369)". The record is from RNAcentral. Lineage: Eukaryota; Viridiplantae; Streptophyta; Magnoliopsida; Malpighiales; Euphorbiaceae.
UCUUCUCCAAGGUACUGGUUCCAGCCCAUGUCACCUUCAGGAAAAUAACCACCAUUUGAAUGAAAACCUCUGCUCCACUCUUCAUGAUCAUUUUCCACCAUGGGAGGAACAGAAACAGGUAUCCAAACGCCAGUUUCUUCAGAAAGAGGUGAAUCAUAGAAAAAGUAUUUCCCUAGCUUUUUCUCACUGGUCUUUGUUCCUUUCUUCUCAUUGUUUCUAGCAUCAUUUUCUGCAGGGGUAGGAAUUUCAUGGGUCCCAAGCCCAAUGGUGGCUGCAGAAUUAUAGAAAUCUGUAGAACUUUCAAGUCCCC